This 286-nucleotide ribosomal RNA is filed under the name uncultured bacterium. RNAcentral describes it as "partial 16S ribosomal RNA". It matches the Rfam family "Bacterial small subunit ribosomal RNA", at positions 773 to 1060 of the family's 1533-position model. The record is from RNAcentral.
GUGGAUUAGAUACUCUGGUAGUCCACGCCGUAAACGAUGAAUACUAGGUGUGGGGGUUAUCAUGACCUCCGUGCCGCAGUUAACACAAUAAGUAUUCCGCCUGGGGAGUACGGUCGCAAGAUUAAAACUCAAAGGAAUUGACGGGGGCCAGCACAAGCAGCGGAGCAUGUGGUUUAAUUCGAAGCAACGCGAAGAACCUUACCUAGACUUGACAUCUCCUGAAUUACCGGUAAUGCGGGAAGCCCUUCGGGGCAGGAAGACAGGUGGUGCCCGGUUGUCGACAACU